AAUCAGGAAUCGUCGGCAAUGGGCGAAAGUCUGACCGCGCGACGCCGCGUGUGGGAAGAAGCUCUAACGAGUGUAAACCACUGUGGUAGAGGAAGAAAUCCCGAUUUUCGGGAGUGACGGUACUCUACUAGAAAGAGGUCGCUAACUGCGUGCCAGAAGCGUCGGUAAUACGUGGACCUCGAGCGUUAUCCGGUUUUACUGGGCGUAAAGGGUCGUGUAGGCGGCUUUUUAAGUUAUCUUUGAAAUCACUCUGCUUAACAGAGUAACCGGAGAUAAUACUGAAAAGCUAGAGUUUUCUUGAGGGAGAACGGAACUGAGGAAGGAGCGGUGAAAUGCAAUGAUAUCCUCGGGAACACCAGGGGCGAAGGCGGUUCUCUGUAAGAAAACUGACGCUGAGACACGAAAGCUAGGGGAGCGAACCGGAUUAGAGACCCGGGUAGUCCUAGCUGUAAACGCAUGCCUGCUAGCUGCAUUUUCCCGAUUUAUCGGAAAGGUGUGGCGAAGUUAACACGUUAAGCAGGUCGCCUGGGGACUACGACCGCAAGGUUAAAACUCAAAGGAAUUGGCGGGGAGGUACACAACCAGUGGAACAUGUGGUUUAAUUCGAGACGAACCGAAAAACCUCACCAGGACUUGACAUCUCGCUGCAGACUCCGGGAAACCGGAGAGGCCUUCGAGGGUGCGAGACAGGUGCUGCAUGGCUAUCGUCA
Molecule: ribosomal RNA, 710 nt
Filed under: uncultured bacterium
Lineage: Bacteria
Description: bacterial SSU rRNA
Rfam family: Bacterial small subunit ribosomal RNA
Source: RNAcentral